RNAcentral lists this ribosomal RNA (255 nucleotides) under uncultured bacterium. Its description in RNAcentral is "partial 16S ribosomal RNA". It matches the Rfam family "Bacterial small subunit ribosomal RNA", at positions 524 to 777 of the family's 1533-position model. The record is from RNAcentral.
UACAGAGGGUGCAAGCGUUGUUCGGAAUUAUUGGGCGUAAAGCGCGUGUAGGCGGCUUUGCAAGUCGGGUGUGAAAUCCCUCAGCUCAACUGAGGAAGUGCGCCCGAAACUGCAGAGCUUGAGUACCGGAGAGGAUGGCGGAAUUCCCCAAGUAGAGGUGAAAUUCGUAGAUAUGGGGAGGAACACCGGUGGCGAAGGCGGCCAUCUGGACGGAGUACUGACGCUGAGACGCGAAAGCGUGGGGAGCAAACAGGG